GAUCCUGGCUCAGGAUGAACGCUAGCUACAGGCUUAACACAUGCAAGUCGAGGGGCGAGCAUGAACUUAGCUUGCUAAGUUUGAUGGCGACCGGCGCACGGGUGAGUAACACGUAUCCAACCUUCCGUUUACUCAGGGAUAGCCUUUCGAAAGAAAGAUUAAUACCUGAUAGUAUGGUGAGAUUGCAUGAUAACACCAUUAAAGAUUUAAUUGGUAAACGAUGGGAUGCGUUCCAUUAGGUAG
Molecule: ribosomal RNA, 243 nt
Filed under: uncultured bacterium
Lineage: Bacteria
Description: partial 16S ribosomal RNA
Rfam family: Bacterial small subunit ribosomal RNA
Source: RNAcentral